Molecule: long non-coding RNA, 1717 nt
Organism: Rhinolophus ferrumequinum (greater horseshoe bat)
Lineage: Eukaryota; Metazoa; Chordata; Mammalia; Chiroptera; Rhinolophidae
Exons: 3
Source: RefSeq, a predicted model, not a curated record
CAGGGCAUAGAUAUAGAUUUUCUUCCCCAUAUAAGGUGCUUAACUCUGUAUUCAGCUAUCAUUGGGAUACAGAUGAAGGUCAGUGGGGUUGUAAAUGUUAAAUAACUCUGAGUCUAGGAUGUUGGAUAUGUGUUGACGUUUUCCUUGGUGAUGGCAGAUAGAGUGUGAGUAAGAUGCCAGAAUUCUCAAAGUGUGAUGGAAGUAACUGAUGGGAGGUUGGCAGAUGACAGCGACAAGGCCGGGCAGAGGGAACAUGGUGCAUCUGAAUAGCAUGAAGCUAAAAGAAAGAAGAUAUUUUGCCUGUGGGUAGAUGGCAGCCAUGCAAUGAAAAGAUUGGAGACGGCUUCCCUGCCUCCUGACCAUAGAAGUAGGUUGCAAAGAAUCCAGAUAUCAGACACACCGCGGAGCUGGAGAUCUUAUACUAUACAAAUGCUCAAUCUAACUCCCAACAAACUGACACAACCACAGAUCUUCACUGUCAAAGCAGCAGAGACAACCAAAUAAAGAAGUGGCAAGGAGAGGAUGCUGGAGCUCAAGAAGCACCAGUCCUGGAGGACUUCCUGAAAGAAGGAAAUCACAAUCACUGGUUUGAAUGGAUUAAUCAAGACCUGUGAACAGCUGUCUGCACUAAUGGCCAAUUUCCCAGAGAUCAAAGCCACGUGGCUGUGGGGACAGACUUUCAGCUGCUUUUCUUGCAUCCUGUUCUGAUCAGAGUGAUGUAUCACUUGAAUGUCAUAAUCAGCUCACGGUCUUUUUACUGCAGCUGUCCGGUCCCAGACUGUUGAGUAUGAGAUGAUUUAAUGGUUUGAGCCCAUGCUUUAUCUGCUUUAUAAACGACUCUGUGAUUAAAAAAAAAAAAUCCUCCAUAAGGAUCUAUGAAAUGGGAGGAGGCGAUACUGAGAAAACCCAAAAGGCUUCAUUUAGUCUCUUCUUCCUUUGAUUCAGGGGUACACACGUUGUGACAAGGAAGUGCUUGUGCCCAGCUUCAGUGAAAUGGAGCUGAGUGAGGGUGCAGCUCGUGUGUGUGUGUGUGUGUGUGUGUGUGUGUGAACAUCCGGGGUCCUUUGGCACCAUCUCUCAGAGGAGGAGGUUCUGGGGCACAGGCUCCUGUCUCUGGGCUCACACCCCACUAUCCAUGGACCCCAGAAACCUCCAGGGCAAGACCUAAAUAUCAAGGCUCCGGUGAUCUCCCUGUUAACCCCAGAGAACGAACUACAAUGGUCUAAGCAUUGGAUCUGUUGCUAAGUUGCCCCAGCCAGGAAGGAUGUUCUGAGCCUGUAUGGGCCCUUCACACCCAGGCGGACUGGACCCUUGGAUGGGGCGGGCACAUGGGGCAGCAGCCUGAUGGAGGAGGCCUGCAGACCAGCUCUCCUGGUGGCCUGACCACAGGCCCCGGGAGCUCCACGGUGUGAACUUUGUCCCCAGGCCCCAUGCCGCCCUGUGGGUUUCCCAGAUGCCACUCAAACUCUUGCACUGAAGCCUGCCUCCCUUCUCCUUUGCCAUGCCCCCUCAUGUCCAGGGCCUCAGCUCAUAGGACCUUCCCCACAGUGUCUAUUCAGCAUCUGAGCCAGCAGGCCACCAGAUGGGUUCCAAAGGGACUUCUUGGCAUCUAGUAGCUCAAUAAAAAUUUGGUGGAUGCAGCUUUAUUUACGGUGGCCAAGACAUGCAAACAACCAAAGUGUCCUUUAAUAGAUGAAUGGAUAAAGAAGAUGUGGUA